GACGAACGCUGGCGGCGUGCUUAACACAUGCAAGUCGAACGGUGAAGCGCUUGCCUUUUUGGUGGGUGUGGAUGAGUGGCGAACGGGUGAGUAACACGUGAGUAACCUGCCCUCUUCUUCUGGAUAACCUCAUGAAAGUGGGGCUAAUACGGGGUAUUCCGGGUCUGUCGCAUGGCGGGUUUGGGAAAGAUUGCGCCUUUGGGUGUUUUCGGUGGGGGAUGGGCUCGCGGCCUAUCAGCUUGUUGGUGGGGUGAUGGCCUACCAAGGCGGUGACGGGUAGCCGGCCUGGGAGGGUGGACGGCCACACGGGGACUGAGACACGGCCCAGACUCCUGCGGGAGGCAGCAGUGGGGAAUAUUGCACAAUGGGCGCAAGCCUGAUGCAGCGACGCCGCGUGAGGGAUGGAGGCCUUCGGGUUGGGAACCUCUUUCGCCAGUGAAGCAGGCCUGCUCCUGUGUGGGUGGGUUGACGGUAGCUGGAUAAGAAGCGCCGGCUAACUACGUG
Molecule: ribosomal RNA, 504 nt
Filed under: uncultured bacterium
Lineage: Bacteria
Description: partial 16S ribosomal RNA
Rfam family: Bacterial small subunit ribosomal RNA
Source: RNAcentral